GUAGGGAAUAUUGCGCAAUGGACGAAAGUCUGACGCAGCGACGCCGCGUGAGUGAUGAAUGCCUUAGGGUCGUAAAGCUCUGUUGAAUGGGAAGAAAAAAAUGACGGUACCAUUCGAGGAAGGACCGGCUAACUUCGUGCCAGCAGCCGCGGUAAUACGAGGGGUCCUAGCGUUGUUCGGAAUCAUUGGGCGUAAAGGGUGUGUAGGUGGCCAUGUAAGUCAGGUGUGAAAGCCCCGGGCUCAACCCGGGAAGUGCACUUGAUACUGCGUGGCUUGAGUACCGAAGAGGGUAGUGGAAUUCCAGGUGUAGUGGUGAAAUACGUAGAUAUCUGGAGGAACACCGGUGGCGAAGGCGGCUACCUGGUCGAGUACUGACACUGAGACACGAAAGCAUGGGGAUCAAACAGGAUUAGAUACCCCUGUAGUCC
Molecule: ribosomal RNA, 428 nt
Filed under: uncultured bacterium
Lineage: Bacteria
Description: partial 16S ribosomal RNA
Rfam family: Bacterial small subunit ribosomal RNA
Source: RNAcentral